RNAcentral lists this ribosomal RNA (667 nucleotides) under uncultured bacterium. Its description in RNAcentral is "bacterial SSU rRNA". It matches the Rfam family "Bacterial small subunit ribosomal RNA", at positions 89 to 743 of the family's 1533-position model. The record is from RNAcentral.
CAAAGAGUGGCGAACGGGUGAGUAACACGUGGGUACCCUACCUCUUAGCAGGGGAUAACAUUUGGAAACAGGUGCUAAUACCGUAUAACACUAACAACCGCAUGGUUGUUAGUUGAAAGAUGGUUCUGCUAUCACUAAGAGAUGGACCCGCGGUGCAUUAGCUAGUUGGUAAGGUAAUGGCUUACCAAGGCGAUGAUGCGUAGCCGAGUUGAGAGACUGAUCGGCCACAAUGGGACUGAGACACGGCCCAUACUCCUACGGGAGGCAGCAGUAGGGAAUCUUCCACAAUGGGCGCAAGCCUGAUGGAGCAACGCCGCGUGUGUGAUGAAGGGUUUCGGCUCGUAAAACACUGUUAUAAGAGAAGAACGACAUUGAGAGUAACUGUUCAGUGUGUGACGGUAUCUUAUCAGAAAGGAACGGCUAAAUACGUGCCAGCAGCCGCGGUAAUACGUAUGUUCCAAGCGUUAUCCGGAUUUAUUGGGCGUAAAGCGAGCGCAGACGGUUAUUUAAGUCUGAAGUGAAAGCCCUCAGCUCAACUGAGGAAGGGCUUUGGAAACUGGAUAACUUGAGUGCAGUAGAGGAAAGUGGAACUCCAUGUGUAGCGGUGAAAUGCGUAGAUAUAUGGAAGAACACCGGUGGCGAAAGCGGCUUUCUGGACUGUAACUGA